RNAcentral lists this unclassified non-coding RNA (1236 nucleotides) under Daphnia pulicaria. RNAcentral describes it as "ubiquinone biosynthesis O-methyltransferase, mitochondrial-like, transcript variant X2". The record is from RNAcentral. Lineage: Eukaryota; Metazoa; Arthropoda; Branchiopoda; Diplostraca; Daphniidae.
GUUUGCACGUAAACAUUAGACACAGGAUAGCAGACAGCACACAUCCAGUUACAACAGAAAUCGAAAUCCUCAGACGAGCACUUGAAAGUUGAAACUACGAUGUUGCUGAAGCAUUGUGUUACUUCUCUCCCAGUCCGAGGCCUGUCGUCUGUAAGAAACUAUUCAAUCAAAUCAACGCUGAGUGAAAAUGAAAUCCAGAAAUUCAGUAAAAUGGCAAAUGAAUGGUGGGAUGUUAAUGGACCAUUCAGUGGGUUACACUCUUUAAAUAAACUAAGAGUUCCAUUCAUUCGAAAUGGAAUAUGCUCUCAUCAAAAAUCAGCUGUUGUUAACAAUUCUCCAACAAGUCCGUUGGCAGGAUGUAGCAUAUUGGAUGUAGGAUGUGGUGGUGGAAUUUUGAGCACAAGUCUGGGCCGUUUGGGAGCAAGUGUUACAGGACUUGAUCCAAGUGAAGAAAAUACUGCAGCAGCCUCUCUUCAUGCUAAUAAAAUGAGGCUUCAGAAUGUGACCUUUGAAGUCAAUACCAUUGAACAUUUUCAAGCAUUAAACACUAGUUUGUCAACCACCUUUGAUGCAGUUGUUGCAUCUGAAGUCAUUGAGCAUGUAGAAAAUCCAAAAUUUUUCAUCCAAACAUGCACUGAAUUACUCAAACCAGGAGGUUCUUUAUUCAUAACAACUCUAAAUAGGACUCCUGCUUCUUGGGCCCUUGCCAUUUGUGGCGCAGAAUAUAUUCUCAAUGUUGUACCAAGAGGAACACAUGAUUGGAAUAAGUUUAUCACUCCUGAUGAACUAAUAGACUACAUUAAUAGCAGUGGUUGCCAGCUUCGACAAAUAUGUGGCAUGGCUUACAACCCUUUUAUGAACAAAUGGAAAUGGUCAAGAACCACUAGCGUCAACUAUGCUGUACACGCUACAAAAUCGUCUCAGCUAACAUCACCGGAUCAAAGAAAUGAUACAUAAGCCUACAGAAAUUGGUCCCUAUUUACAAGUUGUCGACGGAAAUCUUUGUGAAACUUGUUCAGUUUCAAUCAAUUAUCAAGAUAUCACACAUCCUGAUAAUCAAGAAUUGUUGUAUUAAGGCUGUCAAGUCGACUGGAAGUUUAAGAACAAACUGGGUUUUGAGACUUUUGACGAGGGAAAAUAAAUUUAUUCAUACAUACGAUCGCUGGUUAGUUAUGGACGGUGGUCCGUAACGCCUUUUUGCUUCUUCUGUAAACGCAUCAGUUAUUUUAUUCACAA